Molecule: ribosomal RNA, 497 nt
Filed under: uncultured bacterium
Lineage: Bacteria
Description: partial 16S ribosomal RNA
Rfam family: Bacterial small subunit ribosomal RNA
Source: RNAcentral
GAUGAACGCUGGCGGCGUGCCUAAUACAUGCAAGUCGAGCGAACAGACGAGGAGCUUGCUCCUCUGACGUUAGCGGCGGACGGGUGAGUAACACGUGGAUAACCUACCUAUAAGACUGGGAUAACUUCGGGAAACCGGAGCUAAUACCGGAUAAUAUAUUGAACCGCAUGGUUCAAUAGUGAAAGACGGUUUUGCUGUCACUUAUAGAUGGAUCCGCGCCGCAUUAGCUAGUUGGUAAGGUAACGGCUUACCAAGGCGACGAUGCGUAGCCGACCUGAUAGGGUGAUCGGCCACACUGGAACUGGGACACGGUCCAGACUCCUACGGGAGGCAGCAGUAGGGAAUCUUCCGCAAUGGGCGAAAGCUUGACGGAGCAACGCCGCGUGAGUGAUGAAGGUCUUCGGAGCGUAAUACUCUGUUAUUAGGGAAGAACAAAUGUGUAAGUAACUAUGCACGUCUUGACGGUACCUAGUCAGAAAGCCACGGCUAACUACGUG